RNA transcript from Arachis duranensis, 2594 nucleotides. It is a transcript of the gene named oxysterol-binding protein-related protein 1C, with no coding region annotated. The record is from RefSeq and is a predicted model, not a curated record. Lineage: Eukaryota; Viridiplantae; Streptophyta; Magnoliopsida; Fabales; Fabaceae. The transcript is spliced from 3 exons.
AGAUAGAAAAGGUCGAUAUGAAAAAUACAGUUGUUGAUGAGAGCCAAAGACAGUGGAAUGAUCAAGAGACUUCCUCCACAUUAAGGAAGGAAAAAUCUAGUGAAGGAAGUGCAAGUGAAUCUGAGGAUGAUAACGAGAGAAAUGAUGCUGCAGAAGAAGAAACAGAUGAUGAAGACAAUGCCUUUUUUGACACCUGCAAUUUUCUAUCGUCCAGUUCUUUCAAAAGUAAUGGGUCUGAUUAAAGAGUAUCAUCUUUCUCUUCUGAUGAUGAUGGGUUCUAUGCAUUCGAAUCGGAGGAUGAUGUAGAUACAGCCAUUAGAUCUGUUGGAAGCAACUACCCUCAUGUUAAGUGGCGUAAGAAAUUGCCUGACCCUAUAGAGAAAGAAAAAGGUGUGAAUCUCUAGUCAAUGAUUAAGGAUAAUAUAGGGUAGGAUCUAACUAAAGUUUGCCUCCCUAUUUAUUUUAAUGAGCCACUCUCCCUUCCUGCAAAAAUGUUUUGAAGAAAUGGAAUAUUCCCAUCUGCUGGACCAAGCAUAUGAAUGGGGAAGAAGAGUAAGUCUAGAUUUGGCCGACAUGUCUCUACUACGAUGCAAGUCUGCAUUUUUUUUUGCCGGCAUAGAGUUUUUCUUACUGACAGUUCUUUGAAUGUGGUUAUGGUUUUGUUGUUUGAUUUAUUUUUUUACUGUUUGACACUUAUUUCUGUUAUAGCUCUUUUGUGCUAUUAGGUUAGGGUUUAGAGAGAUGAGUACCAAUUUUUGGGAGAGAUUUGUCGGCGUGACCGAAAGAUAUUUGGCUUUACAUGUUCGAUAUCUGUCUUACUUCUGAUUCUUAGAUCUGAUGAUGUCGGCGGUGAAGAUCUUCGAUUAGAUCUCGGAGAUUGUUUUUCGUUUUUCUGUUAGAUGGAAAGGAGAAAACAAGAGGAUAAAGUGAAGAGGGUGCAACAACAGGAGGAAUGUUUUAAGCAUGUUAAGGUAAUUAUUGGGUUUGCUUCUCAUAGAAUAUAUUCAGUUAAAAUUUAUUUAUCAUUAGAAAAUGAGAAGAAUUUGAUUAAAAUAUUCUCUUACCAUUAUAAAUAAGAUCUUUGGAUGAUCAUGAACCCUGAAAUAGCUUUUUAUAAAAUCUGUAACUUAAAAGUGUUAUAGACUCUGCUCCUAACUGAUUAAUUUUUCUUUGGAGAUUAAAGAAAUGUACUUUUGUUGUACAUAAAUGCAUACUUUUUUUAGCUUAGUUAAAAUGUGACAAUUUUUUUAGUUUUAACAGCAACUGAAACAAAAGCAUGUGAAAAAAACACAAUGAUCUUGAGACACAUAAUAAGAGCUACAUACACUCCAUAUAGAAACACUUCAAUUGCUCUCCAAAUUUUAUUCAUAUAGAAAGCAGUGCUGUUGUAAAUUUAGUAACCAACCAUCCUUAUUUGUAUAAUUGCACACUACUUGAAUUUUACUUGGAUGUUAUUCAGAUUUAUUUAUUAAUUAUGAUCCGUUAGUAGUAAAAAUUUUGAAAUCUAUUAGCUGCGAAAAUCUAAUUGGAGCGAGCCCUUUUUUUUUCAUUCUUUAUGGAUUUGUGAGUAUUUCUUGUGUGGUUUUGAAGUAUUUAUCCUUUUAUUGAGAUAAUUGUGUGGUUUUAAACUUGAAUUAUACUUGAAUGUUAUUUAUAUAUAAUUAUUUAAUGUGUAGAUUUUGCGGUACAGUAUAAUGGUUUUUUCUCUAAAUUAUGAUUAAUUUGUUCUUUUACGAAGAACUCUCUGAGAAAGUUAAAGUAAAUAAUCUUUCUUCUUGCUUAUUUUUUAUAUAAAUUCUGUUUAAUUUGUUUUUUUUUGUGUGGUUUUAUAAUAUUUAUUUUUUUUUUGAUAUAGUUGUAUAUUUGGGUAUAUUUGGAUAUUUUAAAUUGUUAAUAUUUUGUUACUACUCCAAUCACUGUUAUAUCUUUUUAAAAAAUAUUUUUAUAUUUGUAUAUGUGUGUUAAUCUAUGUGUGACAUCCAUGUAUGAGUUAUUCUUCUCCUUGUUCUAGGAUUUCUUUAAUUUUGUUUCAAAUAAAUUGAAUUCACUGAUUAUUUAUUCUCUUUUAUGUGGUUUUAUAAUAUUUAUUUUUUAAAGAUGGGUGAAAGUACAUGUUUACUUCUAAUCCUCUAUUAUGUACUGCUUAAAAUAAUUAUGAUGUUUAUAAAUUAAGAAUGGAUAAGUUGUCUUUUAGAAAUUCAAAAUCACAAAUUAGUUAUUUUAUACAAAAUUCAUGCAUAUAAAGGGGAGGACUAAUAUGCCGACUUUUAUUUGAUAUCUUCUGUAUCUUUAGGGUUAUUUCUUUGUUAUUUUUUGUGAGUCUUUAUUUCUUGAUUGAAUGAUCUAUUUUUUUGUUUUCUGUUUUUGUGGGGGGUAAAUGCUCGGGAUUAUUAUUAAAAUAGAGCUUCAUGUUGAUUUUAUAAGUAUUAUGAACAUUUUUUCUUUUCUGAUUUUUUUGCACUGAAAAGAAUUUAUAGGCAAAUUUAGAUUUUUGCUUUUUUUUUCUUCUAAUGAGGAUUGUAAUUUGUAUAUGAGGUCCAUGUUGAUUUUACAAGUAUAACCAACAUUUUUGCUAAUUUUCUUCUUCUGAAAUU